RNAcentral lists this ribosomal RNA (468 nucleotides) under uncultured bacterium. RNAcentral's name for it is "partial 16S ribosomal RNA". It matches the Rfam family "Bacterial small subunit ribosomal RNA", at positions 28 to 507 of the family's 1533-position model. The record is from RNAcentral.
GACGAACGCUGGCGGCGUGCUUAACACAUGCAAGUCGAACGGAAAGGCCCUGCUUUUGUGGGGUGCUCGAGUGGCGAACGGGUGAGUAACACGUGAGUAACCUGCCCUUGACUUUGGGAUAACUUCAGGAAACUGGGGCUAAUACCGGAUAGGAGCUCCUGCUGCAUGGUGGGGGUUGGACAGUUUCGGCGGUUGGGGAUGGACUCGCGGCUUAUCAGCUUGUUGGUGGGGUAGUGGCUUACCAAGCCUUUGACGGGUAGCCGGCCUGAGAGGGUGACCGGCCACAUUGGGACUGAGAUACGGCCCAGACUCCUACGGGAGGCAGCAGUGGGGAAUAUUGCACAAUGGGCGGAAGCCUGAUGCAGCAACGCCGCGUGCGGGAUGACGGCCUUCGGGUUGUAAACCGCUUUCGCCUGUGACGAAGCGUGAGUGACGGUAAUGGGUAAAGAAGCACCGGCUAACUACGUG